AUUCACUUCGGUGAUGACGUUGGGAACGCGAGCGGCGGAUGGGUGAGUAACACGUGGGGAACCUGCCCCAUAGUCUGGGAUACCACUUGGAAACAGGUGCUAAUACCGGAUAAGAAAGCAGAUCGCAUGAUCAGCUUAUAAAAGGCGGCGUAAGCUGUCGCUAUGGGAUGGCCCCGCGGUGCAUUAGCUAGUUGGUAGGGUAACGGCCUACCAAGGCAAUGAUGCAUAGCCGAGUUGAGAGACUGAUCGGCCACAUUGGGACUGAGACACGGCCCAAACUCCUACGGGAGGCAGCAGUAGGGAAUCUUCCACAAUGGACGAAAGUCUGAUGGAGCAACGCCGCGUGAGUGAAGAAGGUUUUCGGAUCGUAAAGCUCUGUUGUUGGUGAAGAAGGAUAGAGGUAGUAACUGGCCUUUAUUUGACGGUAAUCAACCAGAAAGUCACGGCUAACUACGUGCCAGCAGCCGCGGUAAUACGUAGGUGGCAAGCGUUGUCCGGAUUUAUUGGGCGUAAAGCGAGCGCAGGCGGAAGAAUAAGUCUGAUGUGAAAGCCCUCGGCUUAACCGAGGAACUGCAUCGGAAACUGUUUUUCUUGAGUGCAGAAGAGGAGAGUGGAACUCCAUGUGUAGCGGUGGAAUGCGUAGAUAUAUGGAAGAACACCAGUGGCGAAGGCGGCUCUCUGGUCUGCAACUGACGCUGAGGCUCGAAAGCAU
RNAcentral lists this ribosomal RNA (712 nucleotides) under Lactobacillus acidophilus. RNAcentral's name for it is "bacterial SSU rRNA". It matches the Rfam family "Bacterial small subunit ribosomal RNA", at positions 73 to 762 of the family's 1533-position model. Lineage: Bacteria; Bacillati; Bacillota; Bacilli; Lactobacillales; Lactobacillaceae. The record is from RNAcentral.